AUAGCUUGUGGAUUUGGCGUUUCAGCAAAUGAGGAGACCUAAUUAAAGGUCUAAUCCUGUAGAACGUGAGUUACCCUCAGCUCCUAAAUCAAAAUGACUUAAGGGCUGCUCCUGUUAGCCUGGCACUGCAGAUUCAGCCGAAUCCUUCAUUCACGUGCUGGCGCAGUGUGUUACGUGAUUUUGCCGUGCACCUCCAACGGCUGCCGUGUCCAGCGAUGCUGCUGGAACAUCUGCAGGCUCAGAUGAAACUUGAUGCAGCUGAGAUCCUACAGUGGCUCUGGCAGGAACGGCUUAUUGGGCACGUCACUGAAAUCCCACGUUUCAGUUUCUCCACCUGUCAGGUGUUGGUGAAACACAGCGAGAUGAUUAACCUGCCGGGAUGCUCAUUUCUCGCACCCUGUGCCGUGCCUGGUCCUUCUGCGCUAGGUUCACCACUGAGUCAUCCGGGCAUCGCGGGUCUCGGGAACGAGCCGCGGUGGACGACAUCCAGGCUCGGCUGAACGUGGGAGGGCUGCGCCGAAACGCUGUUCGGCGUUUUUCCUGCCAAAACGCUUUUCCUGCCGGAUGCAGGGCUCGGCGGGGAGGCCGGAGGAGGCAGGUUGGGGCUUCACCGCUGCCGAGCCGGGCACGGCCGUGCCGCUGGCACGUUGCUUCAACACAGCUGGCACGAGGAAAGGCACAGCCCUCGGGGAACGGCAAAAUCACCACGGUGUCCCAGGGAUGAGCAAGGAGAGCCCGAUGGGGGGUGGUUGGAGGCUGUUACUUCAUCCCAUGAGAUUAGCGUGGCUGCGUUUCUGUUAGGCACUGUUUGAAAAUGCCAUGAGUGUUUCUCGCCCAGAUGAUUGAGGCGAGGCUGAUCUGAGUUUGGGGCAGAACGGGUAGAGCCGAUUGCCAUCUUCUGUGGCUCUCUGGCCCUUUUCGCCUGCGGUAUGACCCGCUUCCAAGAAUCAAGUGGAAACUGUAAUUCAGCACGUUUCCUGCUUUCACAGAAACCUCGGGCAUCGGCGAGCUGGUAACUUCUGCCCCCUUUCCGAGGGGGAUCUGCGGAUUUUGCAGCUGAUGUACUAAAAUUCUCCAAGUCUGUGA
Dromaius novaehollandiae (emu) is the source of this 1086-nucleotide long non-coding RNA. RefSeq lists it as uncharacterized. The transcript has 3 exons. The record is from RefSeq and is a predicted model, not a curated record. Lineage: Eukaryota; Metazoa; Chordata; Aves; Casuariiformes; Dromaiidae.